CUUGGUCAUUUAGAGGAAGUAAAAGUCGUAACAAGGUCUCCGUAGGUGAACCUGCGGAGGGAUCAUUACAAGUGACCCCGGUUUACCACCGGGAUGUUCAUAACCCUUUGUUGUCCGACUCUGUUGCCUCCGGGGCGACCCUGCCUUCGGGCGGGGGCUCCGGGUGGACACUUCAAACUCUUGCGUAACUUUGCAGUCUGAGUAAACUUAAUUAAUAAAUUAAAACUUUUAACAACGGAUCUCUUGGUUCUGGCAUCGAUGAAGAACGCAGCGAAAUGCGAUAAGUAAUGUGAAUUGCAGAAUUCAGUGAAUCAUCGAAUCUUUGAACGCACAUUGCGCCCCCUGGUAUUCCGGGGGGCAUGCCUGUUCGAGCGUCAUUUCACCACUCAAGCCUCGCUUGGUAUUGGGCAACGCGGUCCGCCGCGUGCCUCAAAUCGACCGGCUGGGUCUUCUGUCCCCUAAGCGUUGUGGAAACUAUUCGCUAAAGGGUGCUCGGGAGGCUACGCCGUAAAACAACCCCAUUUCUAAGGUUGACCUCGGAUCAGGUAGGGAUACCCGCUGAACUUAAGCAUAUCAAUAAGCGGAGGA
RNAcentral lists this ribosomal RNA (588 nucleotides) under uncultured fungus. RNAcentral describes it as "eukaryotic LSU rRNA". The stretch from base 224 to 377 matches the Rfam family "5.8S ribosomal RNA". The record is from RNAcentral. Lineage: Eukaryota; Fungi.